This is a long non-coding RNA of Alexandromys fortis (reed vole), 1798 nucleotides long. RefSeq lists it as uncharacterized. NCBI's taxonomy places the organism in Eukaryota, Metazoa, Chordata, Mammalia, Rodentia, Cricetidae. The record is from RefSeq and is a predicted model, not a curated record. The transcript is spliced from 3 exons.
GCAUGAACUCCAUCUUUGAGGAGCCCAAGGAUAUUCAUGGUGGGAUGGCCAGAUGGUAGUGGGGGACUUGGGAAGUCCCCACACAAGCGGAGUGACCUGACCUUCCACCUGGGAAAGAUUUGUUAUAGUGGAACCAAUACCAGGAGGAAGAGCAGUCUAGAGGUGGUCUACCUGCUUCCCUUCUAAUACCCGCCCCCUUUCCUGGAGUUAGGAGCUCUUGGUGCAUUUCCACAGUCAUCUCCUUCUCUGUGUGGGGAGAAGGCAUUGCAGGCUCCACCCUGGAAAGAAAUGAGCGAAACAAACAAAACCCAAAGCCUGGCCCAAAGUGAGAUGUGGAAAGGUGACGCACAAGUCCAUCAGCCUGUCCCUGGAUGCCGGAUACACACUGCUGCACCUGCUUGUUGGUUUCAGAAUCAGCCAGUUUCCAAAGGGAAGAAUAAAAGAGAGCAAGGGACAAGUGACGGUGAAGACACCAUGCAGACCAUCCUGAGGCAGUGCUGGAGAAAGGGAAAGAGAAAACCUGUUCUGGUCUGUUCUGUGUCAUUGAGGUUCUGGGGUGAGGCCUUCAGAUGUAAAGAAAUGCAUGCUGGGAGCAAGGGCUGCUGUGCCAAGAAUAACUCCGGAGGAGACAGUACAAUCCCCAGUCUCCAGUAAAAUGAACUCUAUAAUCAACUCCGCUGUGCUCUGUAAAUAUUCUAUCCGCUGAUAAAGAGCUCGGCAAAUAGAGGCGGCGCCUAAGCACAGCUCCCAGAGCAGAAACUAGACGAGAGAGAGAGGCUGAUGCCUGUCUCAGUGGCUGGGGUGAGGAAGGAACUUCUGUUGCGACAUCACUUACACAGACUCAGCACUCAGUGUGGUGGCAGGUGAGCUCAGGGGGGCAACAGAGCAGGCUGCCAAGCUCUUCUCAAUCAUUCCUGUGCCCGCCAGCGUGGCUCCUUUAACAACAGAUCUAUUUGUACAAACUGUGCACUUCCUGUCUGGCCUGCCCUGGUCAUUACCCUCUUACAAAAAUCUUCUGACACGGCCAGAAUCACCUGCAGGACUGGAACUCACACCCACUUGGCUCCAGAGUCGCCUUUCAUUUUCAAGGACAGAGAGUUUAUUUGUAAGAAGUAUACAGGAAGUCAUGAUCAUCUUAAAUGUAUAGCUCUGUAAACCUAAACCUGUUUACAAGCAGGAUAGACUCCCUCAGGAUCAGGACAUAUGUUUCCAUGCCCAGAAGUCCACCCUCAAUUUUCUCUCACAAUACCAUCACCAGUUAUACCCAUCCCCGCCUUAUAUCAUUGAGAACACAUUUCUCCCGUUCUUCAACUUUGGGUCAAUGGAUUCCUACAGUAGGUUCUCUUUUGUGCCCGGCUGCUUUACCCAACGCUGUGGGAGGUGCUAAGUGUACAGAGCCUGAAUCUUGCCAUACAGGCGUGUUCCAUGCUGCCUCCCAGCAGCGACUCCUUCAAAGUGGCUCAGAUGGGGGUGUGAGCCUUUGUGGGCAGAGUGGGAACAGCAGGCUGACUUCAGAGGUGGGCUGAGAAGGGAGGACUUUUCAGAUCAGGUCCUGGCUGGACAAUUCUUCCUCCCUAAGCCUUGAGUUUCCUGGACCCAGACUCGUAGCCAGAAUACAAGUUCCUCUUCUGAUUUUGUUUCUCUGUGCACAGAGCCAACUUCUUCACUACUGCUUUCUCAGAUGUGUAGACACAUUCCCCAGAAUCAACCUUUCUGUGCCCGGCAGGGAAGUUCCUUGAAUUAUACACUUCCUGUCUGCCCUGUCCAGGCCUUUAACUUCUCACCAAAUGCUCUGGCC